RNAcentral lists this long non-coding RNA (602 nucleotides) under Ananas comosus (pineapple). Its description in RNAcentral is "long non-coding RNA (ACOM_LNC043871)". Lineage: Eukaryota; Viridiplantae; Streptophyta; Magnoliopsida; Poales; Bromeliaceae. The record is from RNAcentral.
UUUAAUUGAAAUGAAAAUUUUUUUAAACUAAAAUCAAUUGAAUUUUAUUAAAUUUUUAGUUUAGAUAGAAUUUAAUUAACUUUGAAAUAUAAUAAAGGGUAUUUAUGAAAUAGAAUUAUGUCACGCCCCGUGGUCCCAUUUUGGUUUAAAAACAAAGCGGAAGUGCCCAAUUUUUUUUUUUUUGAAAACCUGAGCCCCAGGGUAUGCCAAAUCCGUCAAAAAUAUAGGGAGUCCACUGUUCACACAGACAGAGUCUCCCUUGUAUUUGCACGGCGUCGCACAAGCACAAGAUACAUAAACAGAAUACAACCACCACAAUUGAAUAUAUAAACAUUCAUACAUUCAUACAUUCAUACACCAUUCACAACAGAUUCACAUUCAGAGUUUAAUCAUAAAUUUACAACUAUUAGUUUAAAAUGUUUUCUAUCCGGAAAUUUGUUUUGAAAUGCUAAGUCAUGAAAACCACGACAAAACUCUUUUAAAAACUGUUCCCCACAUGAAAACCCUUUUUCUUUAAAACACGCUACCACGAGGAGUAGAAAACUAUUUUCAUCUCAUGAAAAUCAUUAAAUCUUUAUCUCAUUCACAAAAUCUCAUUUAUC